This 869-nucleotide ribosomal RNA is filed under the name uncultured bacterium. RNAcentral's name for it is "bacterial SSU rRNA". It matches the Rfam family "Bacterial small subunit ribosomal RNA", at positions 563 to 1431 of the family's 1533-position model. The record is from RNAcentral.
AAGCGCAUGCAGGUGGUUUGUUAAGUCAGAUGUGAAAGCCCGGGGCUCAACCUCGGAACCGCAUUUGAAACUGGCAGACUAGAGUGCUGUAGAGGGGGGUAGAAUUUCAGGUGUAGCGGUGAAAUGCGUAGAGAUCUGAAGGAAUACCAGUGGCGAAGGCGGCCCCCUGGACAGACACUGACACUCAGAUGCGAAAGCGUGGGGAGCAAACAGGAUUAGAUACCCUGGUAGUCCACGCCGUAAACGAUGUCUACUUGGAGGUUGUGGCCUUGAGCCGUGGCUUUCGGAGCUAACGCGUUAAGUAGACCGCCUGGGGAGUACGGUCGCAAGAUUAAAACUCAAAUGAAUUGACGGGGGCCCGCACAAGCGGUGGAGCAUGUGGUUUAAUUCGAUGCAACGCGAAGAACCUUACCUACUCUUGACAUCCAGAGAAUUCGCUAGAGAUAGCUUAGUGCCUUCGGGAACUCUGAGACAGGUGCUGCAUGGCUGUCGUCAGCUCGUGUUGUGAAAUGUUGGGUUAAGUCCCGCAACGAGCGCAACCCUUAUCCUUGUUUGCCAGCACGUAAUGGUGGGAACUCCAGGGAGACUGCCGGUGAUAAACCGGAGGAAGGUGGGGACGACGUCAAGUCAUCAUGGCCCUUACGAGUAGGGCUACACACGUGCUACAAUGGCGCAUACAGAGGGCUGCAAGCUAGCGAUAGUGAGCGAAUCCCAAAAAGUGCGUCGUAGUCCGGAUCGGAGUCUGCAACUCGACUCCGUGAAGUCGGAAUCGCUAGUAAUCGUAGAUCAGAAUGCUACGGUGAAUACGUUCCCGGGCCUUGUACACACCGCCCGUCACACCAUGGGAGUGGGCUGCAAAAGACAGUGGG